RNAcentral lists this transfer RNA (71 nucleotides) under Marmota monax (woodchuck). RNAcentral describes it as "tRNA.Ala". Lineage: Eukaryota; Metazoa; Chordata; Mammalia; Rodentia; Sciuridae. The record is from RNAcentral.
GGGGUUGUGGCUCAGAGUUAGAGCGCUCACCUAGCACUUGCGAGGCCCUGGGUUCGAUCCUCAGCACCACA